RNAcentral lists this unclassified non-coding RNA (200 nucleotides) under Tremellales sp. RNAcentral describes it as "partial internal transcribed spacer 2". Lineage: Eukaryota; Fungi; Basidiomycota; Tremellomycetes; Tremellales. The record is from RNAcentral.
UUAAGUUCAGCGGGUAGCCCUACCUGAUUUGAGGUCAGAGUCAUAUAUAAUGGGGUUUUGAGCAGAUGUCACACCGAGCCCAGACGAAUCUUAUUACGUCUUUGCUAUUGGGGCUCUGUCCACUAAUCCAUUUGAAGCGAGUCUCAAGAGACAGACGCUCAAUUCCACAUCCUACACAGGUUGUAAAACCCAGGAGGAGU